UUAUUACCGGGCCUGGGGUAAUAACAAGUUAAAACCAGCCCAAACUGUAAAAAAAAACCGUAGAGAUGAUGGGAUCUUCCUUUAGGUUUAGGUUUAGGUAUAUCUGAUUUGUCAUUCUUCCUUUCUGCAUAUUGUCGAUGGAACUCCAUACCAGCGUGUUCGGUGUCAACCGACCUCCCUCGGAAAGCUUGGAAGAUAGAGGUAAACUGAUCAAAUUGGAAUCGGAAUCGGAAUCCGAAUCAGAAUUGGUUUCGGAAACGGAAUCGGAUUCGGAUUCUGAAACGGAACCGGGAUCAAAGCCGAAACCGCGGGUGAUUUAAGAUUGGGAAUUGAAACGGCCUGAAGAUCUUGUUGCGAGUGACUCCACAGCUCUUCGAUGCCAUCGCCCCUCCAAAAAUUGCAGGUCUAUGUGGCGGUGUAAUUCCCCUUCCCAUAGACGAUGAGUGUCGACUUAAUGUCACUCCCCUAUGCAAUGCUGCCUUAGACAACUACAAUAAUGAGAAUCAGGGUUCAAAUUUUGUGCUGGCUGAUAUUUUAAGGACAACCUGGAGAGCUGGUGGUAUGUAUUACAUCACCUUUCAAGCCACACAUCUUUCCGAUAGCAAUGCCACAACUUUCCAGGCACAAGUACAAAGAAAACCGAAGGGAGAACACAAGGUCUAUUCGUGCGCCAUUAAAACCUAACACACCAUGGAAUUCAUGUCCACUGCACCCACCUGCUGCUGAUUUUAGUUGUUAGAAACAUGGGGGUGAAAGUAGGCUUGGACUUCUGGGUGUAGUUAAUUAAAUAUGACUGCUGUUUAUAUAUGAUAUAUUUGCUACAACAACAUUUUGCAAUUUUAACCUCACUUUCUUGUGUCAUUUGACACUAUAACUUCAGGGUGUAGUUAAUUAAAAAUGACUGAUUGUGCAUGCUAUAUUUGCUACAACAUUUUGUAAUUUUAACCUCACUUUUUGGGUCACUUCACGCAAUCUAAUGGCAUGAAUGUUAGUUAUUUAA
Long non-coding RNA from Vicia villosa (hairy vetch), 1000 nucleotides. RefSeq lists it as uncharacterized. The transcript has 4 exons. NCBI's taxonomy places the organism in Eukaryota, Viridiplantae, Streptophyta, Magnoliopsida, Fabales, Fabaceae. The record is from RefSeq and is a predicted model, not a curated record.